AUGGCGACUCACUCUGAUUCUCAAUCAGCAACUUGUGGUGGCGGCCAGAGCACCAAGAGAACCAAUAUUGAUGAUUUACUUGGCCAACUGGAUUUAAACGACGAAGAGUUUGACGACGUCGAGAUCAAUGAUGAUGACCCUGCAAUCAAGGACAGUGUACGAUGGCUUGCAUUGGCAAGGGUUCAUACAGAAAAAAGCUUCAGUCAGUCGGCUUUCUACCGUGACAUGCGUGCUGCGUGGAACCCUGCGCAACAGAUUCGCUUCCGACCUGUUGGCCCUAACCUGUUCGUUGUUCAGGCGGCGUGUCUCGGUGAUUGGGAG
RNAcentral lists this ribosomal RNA (321 nucleotides) under Triticum aestivum (bread wheat). RNAcentral's name for it is "partial small subunit ribosomal RNA". The record is from RNAcentral. Lineage: Eukaryota; Viridiplantae; Streptophyta; Magnoliopsida; Poales; Poaceae.